This 411-nucleotide RNase P RNA is filed under the name Dyadobacter sp. CY343. RNAcentral's name for it is "RNase P RNA component class A". It matches the Rfam family "Bacterial RNase P class A". Rfam says of the family: Ribonuclease P (RNase P) is a ubiquitous endoribonuclease, found in archaea, bacteria and eukarya as well as chloroplasts and mitochondria. Its best characterised activity is the generation of mature 5'-ends of tRNAs by cleaving the 5'-leader elements of precursor-tRNAs. Cellular RNase Ps are ribonucleoproteins. Lineage: Bacteria; Pseudomonadati; Bacteroidota; Cytophagia; Cytophagales; Spirosomataceae. The record is from RNAcentral.
GGAGUGAGCUGUCCUACCGCUGCGGUAUUUUUAUCGAAGAGGAAAGUCCGGGCAGCACAGAGUACCGUACUUCCUAACGGGAAGGCAACAGAUUGGAAACGGCCUGUUGACAGCCAGUGCCACAGAAAUGAUACCGCCUUGGCAUGUUUUUUAUAUACCGAGGUAAGGGUGAAACGGUGGAGUAAGAGCCCACCGCCCGGCUGGUGACAGACGGGGCAGGGUAAACCUUACGGGCUGAAAGAUCAAAUAGGUGUUAGUUAGUGAGGCUACUCGCUUCCGUUUUUCGAAACGCUGACACGGGUAGAUCGUUAGAGAUUCAGGGUGACCUGAAUUCUGGAUAAAUGGUAGGAGUCUUUUGGGUUGUCAAACGCUUAAAAGGAACAGAAUCCGGCUUAUAGGCUUACCCUUUUU